UGGGGAUUAGCUCAGUCGGUAGAGCAUGCGGCUGUUAACCGCAGUGUCGUUGGUUCAAACCCAACAUUCCCAG
Molecule: transfer RNA, 73 nt
Filed under: Blautia producta
Lineage: Bacteria; Bacillati; Bacillota; Clostridia; Lachnospirales; Lachnospiraceae
Also listed under: 1 other name
Description: tRNA-Asn
Rfam family: tRNA
About the family: Transfer RNA (tRNA) molecules are approximately 80 nucleotides in length. Their secondary structure includes four short double-helical elements and three loops (D, anti-codon, and T loops).
Source: RNAcentral